RNAcentral lists this ribosomal RNA (228 nucleotides) under Bifidobacterium psychraerophilum. Its description in RNAcentral is "partial 16S ribosomal RNA". It matches the Rfam family "Bacterial small subunit ribosomal RNA", at positions 1014 to 1242 of the family's 1533-position model. The record is from RNAcentral. Lineage: Bacteria; Bacillati; Actinomycetota; Actinomycetes; Bifidobacteriales; Bifidobacteriaceae.
CUCCCUUCGGGGCCGAUUCACAGGUGGUGCAUGGUCGUCGUCAGCUCGUGUCGUGAGAUGUUGGGUUAAGUCCCGCAACGAGCGCAACCCUCGCCUUGUGUUGCCAGCACGUUAUGGUGGGAACUCACAAGGGACCGCCGGGGUUAACUCGGAGGAAGGUGGGGAUGACGUCAGAUCAUCAUGCCCCUUAUGUCUAGGGCUUCACACAUGCUACAAUGGCCGGUACAG